AGAGUUUGAUCCUGGCUCAGAAUCAACGCUGGCGGCGUGCCUAACACAUGCAAGUCGAACGAGAAAGUGGAGCAAUCCAUGAGUAAAGUGGCGCACGGGUGAGUAACACGUGACUAACCUACCCUUGAGUGGGGGAUAACCUGGGGAAACCUUGGCUAAUACCGCAUAACACCUACGGGUCAAAGGGGCAAUUCGCUUAAGGAGGGGGUCGCGGCAGAUUAGUUAGUUGGCGGGGUAAUGGCCCACCAAGACAGUGAUCUGUAUCCGGCCUGAGAGGGCGCACGGACACACUGGAACUGAAACACGGUCCAGACUCCUACGGGAGGCAGCAGUGGGGAAUUUUGCGCAAUGGGGGAAACCCUGACGCAGCAACGCCGCGUGGAGGAUGAAGUCCCUUGGGACGUAAACUCCUUUCGACCGGGACGAUUAUGACGGUACCGGAAGAAGAAGCCCCGGCUAACUUCGUGCCAGCAGCCGCGGUAAUACGAGGGGGGCGAGCGUUGUUCGGAAUUAUUGGGCGUAAAGGGUGCGUAGGCGGUUCGGUAAGUUUCGUGUGAAAUCUUCGGGCUCAACUCGAAGCCUGCACGAAAUACUGCCGGGCUUGAGUGUGGGAGAGGUGAGUGGAAUUUCCGGUGUAGCGGUGAAAUGCGUAGAUAUCGGAAGGAACACCUGUGGCGAAAGCGGCUCACUGGACCACAACUGACGCUGAUGCACGAAAGCUAGGGGAGCAAACAGGAUUAGAUACCCUAGUAGUCC
This 756-nucleotide ribosomal RNA is filed under the name uncultured bacterium. RNAcentral's name for it is "bacterial SSU rRNA". It matches the Rfam family "Bacterial small subunit ribosomal RNA", at positions 8 to 796 of the family's 1533-position model. The record is from RNAcentral.